GGGCUUGGGAAAAGGUUCCCCCGUGCUGCAUGGAUUUUGACGUAUCUGUGCAGGAUAGGUGGGAGGCUUUGAAGCCCCCUCGCUAGGUUGUGUGGAGCCGACCUUGGAAUACCACCCUGGUUUGUUUGAGGUUCUAACCUUGGGCCCUGAAUCCGUCCGGGGACAGUGUCAUGUGGGCAGUUUUGACUGGCGGUCGCCUCUCCCAAAGUGUCGGAGGCGACCAAAAGUUUCCUCUUGGCGGUUGGAAAUCUCGCACCUAAUGUGAAGGGGCAAAGGAGUUUUUAUGUGCGAGACCCACCUCACGAGCAGGUGAAAAUCCGGCUUAUAGACCUCCGGUGGUUCUGUAUGGAAGGCCCCUCUCUCAGGAUAAAAAAGGCUCUCUGGGUAAAACGGGGAAAA
This 399-nucleotide ribosomal RNA is filed under the name uncultured organism. Its description in RNAcentral is "bacterial LSU rRNA". The stretch from base 24 to 370 matches the Rfam family "Bacterial large subunit ribosomal RNA", at positions 2102 to 2459 of the family's 2925-position model. The record is from RNAcentral.